AUGUGUGAGCAGGACGAUGAACCACCGAGGGAAGCUGGUGUGCGGUCUUGUGAAUGGCCAUCAGAGGAGUUUAUGGUCAAAGCGGGCAUCAAGGAUGAAUUUGAUGCGUAUGUGCGUAAUGCCGAUCUUGAGGACUUCAUGCGAGAUAAGUGUCAUCAGUACUACUAUUUGACUGAUUCAUUCGUGAGAAGGUUUAAAUUUACAUCUUCGCGUAAUUCUCCAAGUGUCAUGUUUGAUAUUUAUGAUAAAUCAUAUACCAUGGACCUAGAAGAUUUCACUACUGCUUGUAAACUCCCGCAGUGGGGCAAUGUUAAUGAACCCCGUAAAUCUGAAUAUAAAGACUUUCUUGCUAGUAUCACCGUGGGAGAAUCUAGAGACAUAGCACAAGCUACCAUAGGGAGCAUUCACUUUCCUGCUAUACAUUAUUUUGCUCUCUUUAUUGGUAGAUGCAUUAACAGUAAAGAUGAAGCAUGUCACAUGUGUGUUCCUGAUCUUUGUGUUCUCAAGACUGCUGUAUUAGGUGAUAAGCAAUACAACUCGGGGGCAAUUGUUGCACGUAGGUUGCAUAAUAAUGGUUUAGUUGGAGAUUUGUUUGGAGGGAUUUAUGUGACCCAUGAGGCUAAUUAUCUUGGUAUACCUAUACAUGAAGAUGAUAGGGAGUUGCCUCCCGCUUAUCUAGAUUAUAAUGCCAUGGUUAGCCAUCAUUUUGUUCAGAGGAAUGAACAAUUCCUCCAGUAUCGACUAAUCUUUGACAGACGUCGCGCUGUCCAUAUUACUCUCCCUGCUCCUGCCCUCUUUGAUUACCAGGCAAAAGGAAGAUAUGUUAUAACCAGGGAGGAGGCGCAUGAGUAUGAGAGGAGGACAGAGGCAGCUCGCCGCCAUGCUGCAGCUCAGGAGGCAAUGGCUGCUGCAUCUCGGUACGACCCCAGUUACAACUUCGGAUAUCAGGCAGGCUACCCAUGGCCAUAG
This 969-nucleotide ribosomal RNA is filed under the name Triticum aestivum (bread wheat). Its description in RNAcentral is "partial small subunit ribosomal RNA". Lineage: Eukaryota; Viridiplantae; Streptophyta; Magnoliopsida; Poales; Poaceae. The record is from RNAcentral.